GGGGAUUUGGCUCAGUGGUAGAGCGUUUGCCUAGCAAGCGCAAGGUCCUGGGUUCGGUCCCCAGCUCCA
This 69-nucleotide transfer RNA is filed under the name Rattus norvegicus (Norway rat). It matches the Rfam family "tRNA". From Rfam's summary of the family: Transfer RNA (tRNA) molecules are approximately 80 nucleotides in length. The record is from Rfam by way of RNAcentral. Lineage: Eukaryota; Metazoa; Chordata; Mammalia; Rodentia; Muridae.